GAAAUGCGAUAAGUAAUGUGAAUUGCAGAAUUCAGUGAAUCAUCGAAUCUUUGAACGCACCUUGCGCUCCUUGGUAUUCCGAGGAGCAUGCCUGUUUGAGUGUCAUUUGACUUAUCAACCACAUCAGAUGUUUUGAUGUGGCUUGGACAUGGGGGUAUCUUUUGCUGGCUUUUUCUUUUACAGAAGGUCAGCUCCCCUGAAAUGUAUUAGUGGUGUCUGAGCUACUGCUAUAGGUGUGAUAAUUAUCUAUGCCUUUGGUAUACUGCAUGAACAGAUUGGACUGCUUAUAACAAACAAUUGAAUUUGACACAUCUGACCUCAAAUCAGGUAGGACUACCCGCUGAACUUAA
This 350-nucleotide unclassified non-coding RNA is filed under the name uncultured Inocybe. RNAcentral's name for it is "sequence contains ITS1". The stretch from base 1 to 105 matches the Rfam family "5.8S ribosomal RNA", at positions 50 to 154 of the family's 154-position model. The record is from RNAcentral. Lineage: Eukaryota; Fungi; Basidiomycota; Agaricomycetes; Agaricales; Cortinariaceae.